UACAGAGGGUGCGAGCGUUGUUCGGAUUUACUGGGCGUAAAGGGCGCGUAGGCGGCCACCGCAAGUCGACUGUGAAAUCUCCGGGCUUAACCCGGAAAGGUCAGCCGAUACUGCGGGGCUAGAGUGCAGAAGGGGCAACUGGAAUUCUCGGUGUAGCGGUGAAAUGCGUAGAUAUCGAGAGGAACACCUGCGGCGAAGGCGGGUUGCUGGGCUGACACUGACGCUGAUGCGCGAAAGCUAGGGGAGCGAACGGG
RNAcentral lists this ribosomal RNA (254 nucleotides) under uncultured bacterium. RNAcentral describes it as "partial 16S ribosomal RNA". It matches the Rfam family "Bacterial small subunit ribosomal RNA", at positions 524 to 776 of the family's 1533-position model. The record is from RNAcentral.